Molecule: unclassified non-coding RNA, 838 nt
Filed under: Hevea brasiliensis (rubber tree)
Lineage: Eukaryota; Viridiplantae; Streptophyta; Magnoliopsida; Malpighiales; Euphorbiaceae
Source: RNAcentral
CUCCACCAUCACCACCAUUUUCGUCCUUCCAACCAACACCCAUCCUACUCAGCUUCAACAUUAGACCCAUCUCACCAUUGACGCACAAGAGUCUUGCGACACAAUAUGCGUAGCUCAUCAGAACCUUCUUGAUGCUCUACAGAGCAUCCGCAUUCCAUAAGCCCCAAAACAAUGAUAUCAUUUUAGUGAAGAAAGAAAACACAACUGCCCUUCCUUCCCCGACACCACACUUGCUUGCAGCUCCAUCGAAUAACUCCAAACCACCGAUGCUAUUACAUCGAAUAUUGACCAAACCAUCGUCUGUCUUGUCAAGAUCGAAACUCCUCCCCAUCGAUUGAUCCAUCAGUUGAAAGAGAAGUAUUACCCAUUAAUUAGAAGGGACACCAUCUCUCAACCAAGCAUCACAACAUUUCCAUCGCCCCAUUCAAGACCCAUUUCGUACUGCAGUCGGUCCAUCUGCUUAAUCAUACACUUAGCACACUGCAACUGGAAGACAAAAUCUACCGUUGUCAAUGAGCAAGUCCACAUCUCCUUCAUUGCUGAUAAAAGAAUCGAUGAAUUUAAUUUAAUCGCAAAUAUAAGCUUCAAAUUGGGUAGUGACACUGUUCGAAAGCCGUGAGGCUUCAAACUCGACAUUCUGUGCCGUUGUCGAUUUCCAAUCUUGGCAUGCCUAACAUUCCAUCUUUAAAUCGGCAUUCUGGGGAGGGGACUAGUGAUUUUCUUUUUUUAUAUUCAUGGAAUAGCGAUGUUGAUGUUUCUGUGAUAGGUUCCACCUAAUCAAAUCUGUUAAAUGCAGGGGAGUGAAGGCUGGAAGAAAUGGUUGACAUCUUUGAGUUGG